CAGAAAGGAUAUCAAUAACUGGAGAAAAGGGAGCUCUGAUUUCUGCUUGGCUGUCAAGGGUCCAGACUCAGAGACAGUCUGUGCCCCCAGAUUGCUGAGAUGCCUGGGCAAUGAGAAGCAGAGGGCAGGACUCCACCUGAGGUUGUCCUUGGGAAAUGGCCUCUGUGAAGCCAGGCUUGACUUUGCAUUCCAGCAUGUCUGGCUCUUGAUUGAAGGCAGGAGAAGGGGAUGACAGAGGAUGAGAUGGUUGGAUGGCAUGACUGACUCAAUGGACAUGAGUUUGAGUAAACUCCAGGAGUUGGUGAUGGACAGGGAGGCCUGGCGUGCUGCAGUCCAUGGGGUUGCAAAGAGUUGGACAUGACUGAGCGACUGAACUGAACUGAAGCCAGGCUUAUCUUCCUGCAAACACUGAUGACCUCUACUGUCACCAUCAGGAUUUUCUGCAUUGGAGCCUCAUUCUGUUUAUUGGAACCCCUUGCUAUCAUCAUGGACCCCAACCUUUCCUCACUGUUCUGCCUCCAAGGGCAAUUGUCUCCUUGGGGUGGAUGCCUGAAGUAGAGGAAGAAGUGAGCCAUUUCCAUGAAGUGGGCUAAGAAUAUUCUCACUUUACCAGUGUGCUGAACCCAGUUUCUGAAAAUGCUACAUUCACGGGACACUCGUCUCCCUUUCACCUUCAUGAAUUCUGGCCACUCGGAUUCCCGUCACAGGUCCUGGACACGCACUCUGCCAGGAGUCCAGCUCCUGGAGUGGUUGCCAUUCUGGUCAAGAGUAUCCGGGAUCCAACUAGUACAGAACUACCCUGGCUACAAGUCAGCAGUGUGAUUUCAGCUGGCACUGGGCUUGCUGCUGGAAUCACGUAGAGGAACAGUGGAGACUCAGACUUUCCACUAUAAUAAUAAACUGCAG
Long non-coding RNA from Bos taurus (domestic cattle), 906 nucleotides. Lineage: Eukaryota; Metazoa; Chordata; Mammalia; Artiodactyla; Bovidae. The record is from Ensembl.